UACGAAGGGUCCAAGCGUUGUUCGGAAUCAUUGGGCGUAAAGCGCGCGCAGGCGGAUCAGUAAGUCAGGUGUGAAAUCUCGAGGCUCAACCUCGAAAUUGCGCCUGAAACUACUAGUCUAGAGUGUCGGAGGGGGCAGGGGAAUUUCACGUGUAGGGGUAAAAUCCGUAGAGAUGUGAAGGAACACCGGAGGCGAAGGCGCCUGCCUGGACGACUACUGACGCUGAGGCGCGAAAGCGUGGGGAGCAAACAGG
Molecule: ribosomal RNA, 253 nt
Filed under: uncultured bacterium
Lineage: Bacteria
Description: partial 16S ribosomal RNA
Rfam family: Bacterial small subunit ribosomal RNA
Source: RNAcentral